GGAAGGAUCAUUAUCGAGUGUCAUCAGGUAAUGCUGAUACCUCCAUCCUAUGUUUUAAAUUGAAUUGUGCACAGGCAGAGCGUCAUAUAUAUAUGCUGCUGAUUUUUUUAGCAAGUCUCUGCCACAUUAACCUAAAAUAUUGAACGUUUUCAACCUUAUUUAAAUUAAAAUUAAAAACUUUCAACAACGGAUCUCUUGGCUCUGGCAUCGAUGAAGAACGCAGCGAAUUGCGAUAAGUAAUGUGAAUUGCAGAAUUAGUGAAUCAUCGAAUCUUUGAACGCACAUUGCACCUUGAGGGUACGUCUCUCAAGGUAUAUCUGUUCGAGCGCUAGUAACAUUGUAAGGUUAUACCUUGUGUUGAAUACAUCAAUAAUAUGAUGUAUCGAAAUUCAUUGGCGUAUUAUAUUUGGCCACGAUCACAGCAAUAUGUGGAAGUGUUAAAUGUAAUAUAGUCUAAAAUAUUUUACAUCAAUAUUGGCCUCGGAUCAGAUAAGGAUACCCGCUGAACUUAAGCAUAUCAAUAAGCGGAGGAAAAGAAACCAACAGGGAUUGCCUUAGUAACGGCGAGUGAAGCGGCAAAAGCUCAAAUUUGAAAUCUGAUCACCUUUGGGGUUUAGAAUUGUAAUUUGUAGAGGAAUGUUCGACCUAAUAUCUUGAUUCAAGUCUUCUGGAACGAAGCACCUUGGAGGGUGAUAGUCCCGUACGAUCAUAGAUAUUGGUUAUGUGAACUUCCUUCAAAGAGUCGGGUUGUUUGGGAAUGCAGCUCUAAAUGGGUGGUAAAUUCCAUCUAAAGCUAAAUAUAGGCCAGAGACCGAUAGCGAAGCAAGUAGAGUGAUCGAAAGAUGAAAAGCACUUUGGAAAGAGAGUGAAAUAGUACGUGAAAUUGUUGAAAGGGAAGCGCUUACAAUCAGACUUGAGUAUACUGGUUCAGGCUUACUUUUUAGUAUGUCUUAUUCCAAUAUAUCCAAGCCAACAUCAAUUUGAACAACUUCAUAAAAGCAUUUCUUUCUGUUCUUCUGAACUUAAAGGCAUGUGUAAUAAAGUUAGUUUGGAUUGAGGUAUGCAUUUUAUGGAUGUUGGCAUAAUGGUUGUCAGCGGCCCGUCUUGAAACACGGACCAAGGAGUUGUCCUUCCAUGCGAGUAUUUGAGUGUUAAACUCAUAUGCGUAAUGAAAGUGAAUGGAGGUGAGAAUCUUCGGAUGCAUCAUCGACCGAUGGAUAGUUUACUUGAAGUUUGAGUAAGAGCAUGGUGGGCCAGACCCGAAAGGUAGUGAGCUUUAUAUGGAUAGGGUGAAGCCUGAGGAAACUCUGGUGGAAGCUCGCAGCGGUUCUGACGUGCAAAUCGAUCGUCAAAUCUGUAUAAAGGGGCGAAAGACUUAUCGAACUACCUAGUAGCUGGUUCCUGU
This 1405-nucleotide unclassified non-coding RNA is filed under the name uncultured fungus. RNAcentral describes it as "sequence contains 18S rRNA gene, ITS1, 5.8S rRNA gene, ITS2, 28S rRNA gene". The stretch from base 476 to 1405 matches the Rfam family "Eukaryotic large subunit ribosomal RNA", at positions 1 to 961 of the family's 3401-position model. The record is from RNAcentral. Lineage: Eukaryota; Fungi.